Molecule: long non-coding RNA, 216 nt
Filed under: Mytilus galloprovincialis (Mediterranean mussel)
Lineage: Eukaryota; Metazoa; Mollusca; Bivalvia; Mytilida; Mytilidae
Source: RNAcentral
GGGCCGUGUCAAUGAAAGUAUCCUAGGAUAUGUCCUAAGAUAGGUCUUAGGACAUUAUUUAGGAUGGUCUUAGGACGUGUCUGAGACAUGUCUUAGAAUGUAAAACAAAGCUGUCUUAGGACAGUCAUAACUACGAUGGUCCUAGGACCAUCCUAACACAUUUAUUUAAUUGAAAAUAUAUGUAGAGAUUUGUAUGACAUAGAUUGAAUUGUAUUU